RNAcentral lists this ribosomal RNA (254 nucleotides) under uncultured bacterium. RNAcentral describes it as "partial 16S ribosomal RNA". It matches the Rfam family "Bacterial small subunit ribosomal RNA", at positions 524 to 776 of the family's 1533-position model. The record is from RNAcentral.
UACGGGGGGAGCAAGCGUUGUUCGGAUUUACUGGGCGUAAAGGGCGCGUAGGCGGCCAGCGCAAGUCAGUUGUGAAAUCUCCGGGCUUAACUCGGAACGGUCAACUGAUACUGCGCGGCUAGAGUGCAGAAGGGGCAACUGGAAUUCUCGGUGUAGCGGUGAAAUGCGUAGAUAUCGUGAGGAAGACCAGUGGCGAAGGCGGAUCUCUGGACAGCUCCUGACGCUGAGGCGCGAAGGCUAGGGGAGCAAACGGG